RNAcentral lists this ribosomal RNA (726 nucleotides) under uncultured bacterium. Its description in RNAcentral is "bacterial SSU rRNA". It matches the Rfam family "Bacterial small subunit ribosomal RNA", at positions 777 to 1500 of the family's 1533-position model. The record is from RNAcentral.
AUUAGAUACCCUGGGUAGUCCAUGCCGUAAACGAUGAGUGCUAAGUGUUGGGAGGUUUCCGCCUCUCAGUGCUGCAGCUAACGCAUUAAGCACUCCGCCUGGGGAGUACGACCGCAAGGUUGAAACUCAAAGGAAUUGACGGGGACCCGCACAAGCGGUGGAGCAUGUGGUUUAAUUCGAUGCAACGCGAAGAACCUUACCCGGCCUUGACAUCCCGAUGACGCAGGAGUAAUGUCCUGUUCUCUUCGGAGCAUUGGAGACAGGUGGUGCAUGGUUGUCGUCAGCUCGUGUCGUGAGAUGUUGGGUUAAGUCCCGCAACGAGCGCAACCCUUGCCUUUAGUUGCCAGCAUUAAGUUGGGCACUCUAGAGGGACUGCCAGGGAUAACCUGGAGGAAGGUGGGGAUGACGUCAAAUCAUCAUGCCCCUUAUGCCUAGGGCUACACACGUGCUACAAUGGGUGGUACAGAGGGCAGCCAAGUCGUGAGGCGGAGCUAAUCCCUUAAAGCCAUUCUCAGUUCGGAUUGUAGGCUGAAACUCGCCUACAUGAAGCUGGAGUUACUAGUAAUCGCAGAUCAGAAUGCUGCGGUGAAUGCGUUCCCGGGUCUUGUACACACCGCCCGUCACACCACGGAAGUUGGGGGCGCCCGAAGCCACUUAGCUAACCCUUUUGGGAAGCGAGUGUCGAAGGUGAAAUCAAUAACUGGGGUGAAGUCGUAACAAGGUAAC